GCAGCUCCUGGCCCGCGUGGAGAGCGACGUCGUGGGGCGCAUCCUGCGGCACUACCGCGCCAGCUGCCAGGUGCUGGGCUUCUCCUUCUCCACCAAGGUAAGUCCUGCCCCCCGGGGCCUUGCUCGCGGCCCUUCCCGCACCCCUUUCCCCUCGCAGGCGUGCCGGACUCGCCCUCCCGCUCCCCGGGCCGGGGGCCGGGGGUCUCCUUGCGGUGGGUAGCCGGGAAAGCUCGUGCCUCCGCGGGGGGAGCUUCUUCCCGGGAGGGGAGAGGAGGUUUCCUUCCUGCGACCCGCGUGCCGAGCCGAGGUGCCCGAGGCGCUGGGCAGACGCAGUGGCCCUUGCGCGCCGUGCUCUGGGGCUGGGCUGCCCGCCGUGCUCCUCGCUGAGCCCUCGGCGCUCUGAGGAGUUCCUCACCGGCGCCGCCGUGUUUCCCUGUGCCGGGACGCAGGACGUGCAGCUCAAGCUGGCGCUGAUCCGGAGCGUCGCCGAGGUCAGCCGGGCCGUGCGGGUGGCGGGGGGCUCCCGCGGCGUGGAGCUCUGCCGCAAACGGGAGCUGCUGGGCACCUUGCUGGGCUUCGUGCAGGGGGAGCCCCGGGAUCGCCUGGCGUCCCCCGUGCGCCGGGAG
Long non-coding RNA from Dromaius novaehollandiae (emu), 626 nucleotides. RefSeq lists it as uncharacterized. The transcript has 3 exons. The record is from RefSeq and is a predicted model, not a curated record. Lineage: Eukaryota; Metazoa; Chordata; Aves; Casuariiformes; Dromaiidae.